UUUGGUUGACUUUUGGUAGCUGAGUAAGAGGCCGGACGGACUCCUCGUUUAUUUUUAUUAAUAUUAGGACUCUAAUGGCUGUGGCCCUCUAUAUUAUAAAUACGUCCAACCAAACUAAGCCCACAUACAAUUAAGCUUAGCUUAUGUCACUGGGCCUUCCUAUUUCCUAAUCUCAACAGGCCGACCAUCCGUCUUUGAUUAUUCCGGCAUGGGAGUUUAUCUUCUUUCUUGGGGGUUGCCUAGCUCUGUACUAUUUUCAAGGCGUGUGAAAUUUGCUGGGUGUUUGGUUCUUUCACACAUCGGCUUGCUUUGUGAUUGGCUAGGUUGUUGCUGUGUUGUUGUUGUGAUGGUUUCCAGUUAUGGCUUUCUUUCAUACAUGGGUUUGGAAUUGAGUCAUUGACAUGCAAGUUGUUGUCAUUAUCAUGAUUGUGCAUUAAAUGCACUCUUCCAUUUUGUGUUGGUUUGUCAUCAAUCAUGACUUGGGAGAGCUGCGGUUUUUGGCUUGGACAUGACAUGUUUUUUUCUCUCAUGAAGUUUGGUUGGUGUUUCAAGUUGGUUGGUCUCUCUAGGAACUGUUUAUUCCCGAUUCUCAUGAAACUAGAUGCGUUUUUUUCCCUUGCUCAUUCUCUAGCACAAUUUGUGUUUGUCAUUUUAGUCUUAUUCUUCAGUAUUUUCCUAUGCAGCGAGGCUGCACCUUUUUUAAAUUCAAUUUGUACAUGAUUUAUAGGCACCCCUCUCAUUUUGCUUUGAAGUUGGUGUGAGAUAGGCUUGGUGUUUUUGAGAGAGGCCUUCCCAACCAUUACUCUCAAAUCUUCCACUGUCAAUUUCUUUCCCAAUUGCAGUUCCCUGGUAGGUUUUUGUUGUUUUAACAGUUUGUUUUAAUUUCCAUCUUUUGUUGUUGCUUUUUUCGUAUUGGGUGUGUUUUUAAAUUAAUGUUUUUGGUUUUUAUUUUUAUACUCAGUUGCUCCAAGUUCAUCAUUUCAUUACUGAUUUGUUUCUGCAGCUUCUUGCUUUUCAGGAAAUAUAUUUUUCCAGUUGCUGUCUCUCUUCAAUCGGUUAUCUGUUUUUUCCUGCAAUUUUUCCACAUUGUUUUUAUCUUUACCCUUUGUUUUUGUUUCUUCUCCGUUUUAAUGUGCUUUUGGCUCUAUGCUUUUUUUAUUUCUGAGUUUUUAGUUGUCUCAGAUGGUUCAGCUGGUGACUGUUUUUUUUGCAGUGUGUUGCCUCUGCGUCGGUGCCCUUGGUAACCUAUUAGGGCCUUCUUGGUUAGGAGCAAGGUUGUCUUACUGGUGGUCUCACUCUUUUCAGAAGAGCUUUAACAACUGAUUGUGCCUUACUCGGCAAGUUUCUCUUUUUCAAGGUGUUUUAGGAACAUCGCCAUGUCAUCUCUGUGUUUGUUUGGCUUCCCAAAUCUUUUUUUUUGGUUUUGUAACAGCCUUUCAUACCUUCGUUUCAAGGGUGCUUUUUAAGACCUUACCAUUUGUUUCGUGUUGGUCUGUUCUUUUUUAUGUCAUCCUUCUCUUUGCAUGGAAUUUGGUUUGGAACCUAUAUUUAUUUUUCUUUUUGUCAUCUCUGUGCAUGCUUCUGGUCUGAAUUUCUGGUGGCUCUCCCACUACUCUAUCAAUGAUUUGUACCAUUUGCGCUCACCUUGAGUGCUGCAAGGUUUUCUCAUUUGGUUUAAUGCCUUUUUUGGUAGUUUUCCUUGCAUUGAUAUUGUGUGUUUGCAUCCCUUCCUGCUCCCCUUCCCCUACAGUCGAUUUGAUUAUUGUUAUGCUCAAGAGAUCCUCCUUGAUGCAUUUGGCUUUUGUCUUGCGUAAUAAACCAGCCUUUACGUUCUUUUUUAAUAUAGUUAUUUUUCUGUCCCUCUGCCUCGCAAUUUCCAGCGCUGGGCUGGUUUGGUUUACUUCUUCGAUACUAUUUGGUUUGGCUUUGCUUCUCUUUUAGAAGCCUUUCCAUUGUUUCGGGUGCAGCAAUAUGCCUCCUUUGACAAAUCUUUUUUCCAGAUUCAAGCCUUGUUUCAAUUUUUCUUUUUUGUCUUUUGUUAUAACAGGGAUUUAGUAAGUCAAGGCUAUUAAUCUAGCCUAUGUGUCCAGUUUUUUUGUUCGAGUUUUGCUUGGUUCUUUUGUUGUGUUGCAUUCUUGGCCAAAAAUGGUGAGUGAUGAGGAUAAAAGAGGGCAUGGAUCAAAAGAAAAUUGGUAGCUUACCUGGGCAUGUGUGGUCAAUUAGAUGAAUUAAAGCGGCUGUGUAAAUAGAUUAAAAGGCUAUGAGUCUCAACAGGGGUGCAAGGAGAAAAGAAAAAAAAGUGGGGGGAGCAGAUGGUUGACACUGGCCCUCUCAUUUUCCCUCAUUCUCUCACAUCGCUUCUGCAUAAUGUACCCAGCCUUAUUAGACAUGGCUGGAAAAGCUAUAGCCAGUCCUUUAUUCUCUCUCAUUUAGUGUCAUGUUCAAGAGAGCAAAAAGAAAUAAGAGCCGCAGGCUAAAGCAAAAACCUUCUGAUAACUCUAAGCUCUUGCACUGUAAGAUUCUCAGUUUUUAUCCCUUAGUUUUUUGUGUCACUUGCAUUUACACGCAAACAAGCAUUCUAAUUUACUGGUUGUGGUCCUGGAUUUUAUUGUGUUUGGAUAUUUUUUGCUUUGAUGUCUAGGUUGUUCCAACCUGUACAAGGUGACCCCUCCUAUGCAGAUAUUUAUUUUUCCUUCCCUGCUUCUCGUCUUGGUUGCUUGAUUUUUCUUUUUUUCUUCAGUCUGUUAGUUGCUUCGUUCUGACUUGAAUUGUGUUCCCCCCCUUGACACUUCUUUUGUUCAUUUUUUCCUACUGUUUCAAGCAUUCAAUUAAGUUUCUUCAUGCCUUUUCCCUUUGGUUUGCUUCGUUCUGUCUUAUGUUUAUUUGGUAAUGUUUUAGAAGCUUACAUUUUUUUGUUUUUUUGUUGUGCUGAUUUCCUCACGUGUGGGUCUGCUGCAAGCAGUCAUGCAUCUCACCCGCAAGCACAGUCCUUUCGCACACCAAAUCUAUGAUACAUUCAUCAGCACUUGCUUUGCACAAUUGUUUUGUGAUGUUCCUGGAAUUAGUCAUCUCAUUUGCUUUGCUUUUUUGAUAAAACAAUGUUGAUUUCAACUACUUUUGCUUGCUUGCGAAUUGGUUGUACUGUGGCUUUUCCUGUUUUAGCUGCUUCCUUGCUUCUACCCGAAGCCUCAGCAUCAUCGAUACUCAAACCCACCUAAACUUUCAAUCUCCUCUGACUUUUGCGGGGGCAAACCCACCACUGCCUUCUUAUAGUGUGCAUGCUUGCUAGCAUUUUUAUUUCACCUACAAUAUUGCUGUGCAACCCAUGUUUUUUAUAACUCUUUCUGUUUGCUCAUGUUGUCCUCAUCAACUGCAUCCAGGAACCAUUUUGCCAGUGGUGGUGGGUGCUAAUCCCAGGUGCCCUUUCGGUUUCGUCAUCAAUUAAUGUGACAAUUAACACACUUAUUUUUGGAUUGGAUCUUCUGUUCCUUUUAGCACGCUCAUGACUUUGUUUUCCUUUUGCUCCUGAGCUCAUGCAAUGCUCGGUUUUCACUAUUUUUCCACUUCGUACCUACUCCCAAUAGAGAAUAUUCUUCCACCUGCUUCUGCCUUUAAGUCGUAGCCCUCACGUUUGCUGUUGUUUCCCCUUGCUAUGCUCUGUGUUUCUAUCCUAUUGCUUUGCUGUUGCAAAUUGUGCAUUCAAGUUGAUUUUUUCUUCAGCACCUCUUGCUUGCUUGGUACUAUUAAUUGCAAUAGCUUUUGUUUUUUUGGGUGCAGGAACGUUAAGGACCUUUUACAGUCAGCUAUUGUGGUCCGAUCAUCUUUGUUGGGGUCUCUGUUUUUGUUUUUGUUUUUGUUUUUUUUUGCUCCUUUGACCUCCUCCCUCGAGGCAGCUCCUUCCUUCUCAAAAAAGUCCUCCACGCAGCAAUCCCAGCCUUGGCUCCCAUUGUUUUUCACCUGCACUGCACUCUUUGCCUUCUGUAAAAAAUAUUUAUUAAUUAAUAGCCACUGUUGCUGCUUUGGUUCA
This is a long non-coding RNA of Populus nigra (black poplar), 4027 nucleotides long. RefSeq lists it as uncharacterized. The transcript is spliced from 2 exons. Lineage: Eukaryota; Viridiplantae; Streptophyta; Magnoliopsida; Malpighiales; Salicaceae. The record is from RefSeq and is a predicted model, not a curated record.